Molecule: ribosomal RNA, 328 nt
Filed under: uncultured eukaryote
Lineage: Eukaryota
Description: partial 18S ribosomal RNA
Rfam family: Eukaryotic small subunit ribosomal RNA
Source: RNAcentral
CCCUUAGAUGUUCUGGGCUGCACGCGCGCUACACUGAAGCGUUCAACGAGUAUUCACCUUGCCCGGAAGGCCUGGGUAAUCUUGUUAAACUCUGUCGUGCUGGGGAUAGAGCAUUGCAAUUAUUGCUCUUGAACGAGGAAUGCCUAGUAAGCGCGUGUCAUCAGCACGCGUUGAUUACGUCCCUGCCCUUUGUACACACCGCCCGUCGCUACUACCGAUUGAAUGGCUCAGUGAGGCCUUCGGACUGGCUCGGAGAGGUUGGAAACGACCAUUCCGAGCCGGGAAGUCGGUCAAACUCGGUCAUUUAGAGGAAGUAAAAGUCGUAACA